UUCAUCUAGAGAAGCUUUUCCCCAAAGGUGAAAUGAGAUAAAUCCUUCCACCUCUUUACUCAGACACAGGAAUAGUAAAUUUUGAACACUGAUUUUGUCUCCCAGGAGUGAUGUACAACAUAGUUAAAACUUCCAAUGCUGAUAUAACUUGUGUGAGUGUUACUCAUUAGGAGGACUGCAUGCCAGUAACCAUAGGAAUCUGAAUCUCAUCGAAGUUGUCACAUGUUUCACAAUAUUCUGACUGUGUUCAAGCCUAUGGCCCUUCAUUUUCCUUUGAUGCUUAAAUCCUUCUGAACAGUGGGUAGCACUGUUACUUCAGUUGAUUUACAGAUUCUUUACCUAUCUUUCAAGUAAGAGACCCUCAAGAGAGCCAACUGGAUUUCCACUCUUUGAGAUGCAUUCACCUCUAGCAGCAGUACAUCCUGGGUCUACUCCCAUGACAGCAGGGCUUACAGAGGGCUGGAUUCUUCCCUGCACCUCACCAGACCUACUAUCCAUUCAUCUACAUGUUAAUUUUAGUCCCAGAAGAUUGCUGACUUGGGUAAGAGAAUGUCAAAAGCUGUGUUUUCUGGAGCUUUGACCAAUUGGAACACAGAAGAUGAUCAGAGACAGAAAGG
This is a long non-coding RNA of Talpa occidentalis (Iberian mole), 617 nucleotides long. RefSeq lists it as uncharacterized. NCBI's taxonomy places the organism in Eukaryota, Metazoa, Chordata, Mammalia, Eulipotyphla, Talpidae. The transcript is spliced from 3 exons. The record is from RefSeq and is a predicted model, not a curated record.